Long non-coding RNA from Mastomys coucha (southern multimammate mouse), 312 nucleotides. RefSeq lists it as uncharacterized. Lineage: Eukaryota; Metazoa; Chordata; Mammalia; Rodentia; Muridae. The transcript is spliced from 3 exons. The record is from RefSeq and is a predicted model, not a curated record.
ACAUUUCUAUUAAAUGCCCUCAUUCUAAGAUUCUCCAGCCUUUCAGAUCCAAGGUGUAAAAAUUGGAGAAUUUUUCAGCAAGAUUAACAGUAAAAGAAGACAAUUACCAGAGAAACUUUGGAAGCCACCAACUAUGAACUCUAUGUACAUGAAAAAAUCUACACAGUGAACAGCUAUAAGGUACUUAGAAGAAUAGACUGCCUGCUGAGCUUGCUUUGCAACAUAAUCCAGCUGAAACAAAGGAUGGGUUCUGUGGUGGUUUUCCCUUUAUAAGCAGAAGCUGAAGAAUUAAACUUUGAGACUUGAUCAGAA